Lates calcarifer (barramundi perch) is the source of this 632-nucleotide long non-coding RNA. RefSeq lists it as uncharacterized. NCBI's taxonomy places the organism in Eukaryota, Metazoa, Chordata, Actinopteri, Centropomidae. The record is from RefSeq and is a predicted model, not a curated record. The transcript is spliced from 3 exons.
UAUCUGUGAGGUGGCUCUCAGGUCAUUGACACCACAGUGAGCAUCAGUCAGUGGAGUAUUAGAGGCUGUGUGACUGAAAAACGCUGUGUCAUUGGCUCGUAGUGUGAGUGCACACUUCACUAGAAACACUGACUGUGCAGGAACAGCAGAGCUGGACUGGACCUUUAAGGAAAUAAAGUGGAGCGAUGCUGUGACAAAUAUUCUCUUUGUUGCGUAAUGCAGCAAACUGGAUAAUUUCCUGCUGUGGCUCCUCAAAGACGGAGAGGACAGCAGCAGGAUGACUCUACCAGAGUAAAGGGCAGAAAGUGUGGACUGUCUCCAGUGAUGAAACACCGAUCCAGUCAAACCUUUCCCUAAUUCCUCCUGGGAGAGUGGACAGAAGAGACGUCCUCAUUUCUCUACCUGAUCAUUUAUCUGUAUAUAAAUUCAUUUACCUACAUGUCCGUCAGUGUUUGUCUGCAGUUGUUAUAAUGAUGACUUGUCUGAAAACUCCUUGUUGGGAAGCCGGACAACGUCUGACAACUAACAAGUGCAGCAGUAGCUCAGAAGCGACUCACAUCUCCUGUAUGUACCAUAAUAUCACCUGUAUGGUAAUAUAGUAGUCCAACAAAUUAAAUAAAUGGUUUAGAUCA